GACAGAGGGGGCAAGCGUUGCUCGGAAUUACUGGGCGUAAAGGGCGCGUAGGCGGCUCAGUAAGUCGGGUGUGAAACCCCCAGGCUCAACCUGGGGACGCCACCCGAUACUGCUGUGGCUAGAGUCCAGUAGGGGAGUGUGGAAUUCCCGGUGUAGCGGUGAAAUGCGCAGAUAUCGGGAGGAACACCAGCGGCGAAGGCGGCACUCUGGGCUGGUACUGACGCUGAGGAGCGAAAGCGUGGGUAGCAAACAGG
This 254-nucleotide ribosomal RNA is filed under the name uncultured bacterium. Its description in RNAcentral is "partial 16S ribosomal RNA". It matches the Rfam family "Bacterial small subunit ribosomal RNA", at positions 524 to 776 of the family's 1533-position model. The record is from RNAcentral.